This 468-nucleotide ribosomal RNA is filed under the name uncultured bacterium. RNAcentral's name for it is "partial 16S ribosomal RNA". It matches the Rfam family "Bacterial small subunit ribosomal RNA", at positions 28 to 507 of the family's 1533-position model. The record is from RNAcentral.
GACGAACGCUGGCGGCGUGCUUAACACAUGCAAGUCGAACGGAAAGGCCCUGCUUUUGUGGGGUGCUCGAGUGGCGAACGGGUGAGUAACACGUGAGUAACCUGCCCUUGACUUUGGGAUAACUUCAGGAAACUGGGGCUAAUACCGGAUAGGAGCUCCUGCUGCAUGGUGGGGGUUGGAAAGUUUCGGCGGUUGGGGAUGGACUCGCGGCUUAUCAGCUUGUUGGUGGGGUAGUGGCUUACCAAGGCUUUGACGGGUAGCCGGCCUGAGAGGGUGACCGGCCACAUUGGGACUGAGAUACGGCCCAGACUGCUACGGGAGGCAGCAGUGGGGAAUAUUGCACAGUGGGCGGAAGCCUGAGGCAGCAACGCCGCGUGCGGGAUGACGGCCUUCGGGUUGUAAACCGCUGUCGCCUGUGACGAAGCGUGAGUGACGGUAAUGGGUAAAGAAGCACCGGCUAACUACGUG